RNAcentral lists this ribosomal RNA (294 nucleotides) under Opisthopatus cinctipes. RNAcentral describes it as "partial 12S ribosomal RNA". The record is from RNAcentral. Lineage: Eukaryota; Metazoa; Onychophora; Udeonychophora; Euonychophora; Peripatopsidae.
UUAACUUAACGAUUUGACGGUAAUUUAUUUCCUAAAGGAACUUGUAACUUAAUCGAAAUUACACGAAUUAUUUCACUUAUAUUUAUCUUGUAUACCUCCGUGUAGAUUUUGUUUAUGAUAAAAUUUCUAUAGAAUUAUUAUUAAGAUAUCAGGUCAAGGUGCAGUAUAUAUGAGUUGUUAUGUGUUACAUUAAAUAAAUAAUUAUUGAAUUUAAUUUGAAAAUAUUAAUGAAAAUGAAUUUAUAAGUAAGAAAAAUUAAAAUAUUUUUCUGGAAUAUUAAUGUUAUGUACACAU